UUGGCUUGUGCUCCUUUUGAUUUCAUCAGCAAAGAUUUUAGAAAGGGCUAUUUCCUUCAGAGUCUGGUUUUUUUUAACCUUAGAAAUAUCAGGACUGUCAAGUCCUAUCUCCCUUGUUUUUGCUGGACAACCUGUUGGACAGAAGCGCUUUGUCAGGCAUCCACUGAAAGGGCAGGAGUCAUCAUCCAGAAGAGUAAGAUACAUGAAAGAUGGAAAUGGAGAAAGAUCCAGGGACUGGAGGCAGUGAUCUUCAGGAAGGGCAACGCUGACCGUUUAGGCCCAGACAAAAAUAGAAAAGGCUCAGUUCUGGACCCUGCAUACUUUAUCUUACUGUCCCAGGGGGAUACAAGCAGAGGCACUGGAGCAGCCUCCUGCGGUGGGACCCGAGGUAGGGCUGACCUGCCCGAAGAAAGAAAUUAAAAGCCCUGAAAAGAGGGCACACUUACCAUUCACAGGAGAGGCAGAGCCACACCGAGAAGGGCUGCUGGCAUGGUUCAUCAGCCGCUUUUAUUGCCAGCUGGGAACAGUGCUGGCAGGUGAUGUCAGCAAAAACCACCACCCGCCUGAUUUAAAAGCCGGCGGUGGGGAAAUGGGAGUGGAAACAGCAACGCAGGAGAC
Long non-coding RNA from Alligator sinensis (Chinese alligator), 618 nucleotides. RefSeq lists it as uncharacterized. The record is from RefSeq and is a predicted model, not a curated record. Lineage: Eukaryota; Metazoa; Chordata; Crocodylia; Alligatoridae. The transcript has 3 exons.